UAUAUAUAUAUAUAUAUAUAUAUAUAUAUAUAUAUAUAUAUAUGCUCAGGUGAGAUCUGCCUUGCAUCAGUCCCUCCGUCUUGGCAGCUGAUUUCUUUCUUUAUUUAUUUAUUUUAAUUUUUUUACCUCGCCACCCCCCCCUUCCAUCUCCCAGCGUCUCUCGCUCCCUUUCUCUUACUGUCCUUCUCUCUUUUGUUUGGCAAGCGGCCAUCUCACCUAAACCAUCACAACCAAUAACCCAUAACUCCUAGACAAGAACACACACACACACACACAUACACACACAUACACACACUCGCCUAGUACCACCUCGGGUCUGCACAUUGGAACACCUGUAGAAUUUAAGCCUGAGCUUUGAACAAAUUCACGGAUUUGUGAACAUUUUCUUGAGGUGUGAGAAGUUUGCAAGCUCUGAUAAGGAUCUUUUGGUGACGGUAAGAGUCAUUGUAUUCAAAAGGAAAGACAAUCGUCACGUGAAUAGUUAACUUUCACCCCAAUAUCCCCCAUGUAUGAUGUUUAGAGAAGCUAAAUUUUUCUAGUGUUAAUUUGUGCUGGUGACAGUUCUAUUGUCUGUUUUUUAUUAUAAUUGUUAUAAUGGUUAUCAUUACCAUUAUUGUUAUCAUUUUCGAUGGUAAUAAUAAUGAUAAUUGAAAGAUUUUUAUGUUCUGCAUUUUUUUGUGUAGGGUAGGUACUUAUUUUAUUUGAAUUUGACUUUAUUUUAUUAUAUAUGAAAUACUAUAUAAAUAUCUUUGUUUUCAGGUUUUUUGAUUUGUUUUAUUUUUAUUUUUCUUCAAAGGGGUGUUGCACGAUUUAUUAAGACAAAACCGUCAGUAGUGAUAUUAGUACUUAUUGGUAACUGAGGGAAGUGAUAAACAAACUGAUAGAGUGACCAGUCAAAUGCUGCAAUUUUUAGUCAAUUGUACAAAACUGUCUCUACACAUAGAAGAGUAGGGAUAGCCACUCAUUUAAUUUAUUCAGAUCAGACACAGAUGUCAAUGCAUGGGCGUAAAAACAAGCAAAGAAUGAGUCAUAUAAUAAUAACUGAAAUGUAAUUUCAUUAAGAAUAUACACCACACACAACUAGAAUAGAAAUUGAAGAAAAAAAGUUUAAUGAAAAAUAGCUAAUAUAUUGUGUUCUGCUAGUAUGCUUUGAGUUUUGUUGUAAACAAAAGAUAUUUUCUGUUGUUUUCGGAGAAUGAUAUACAAUUUGUGUAUAUUUUCAUAAACAAGGUAUGCACUGAUAUGUUAUUACAAAUUAUAUACUGCUUUUACAAAAAAAGUGUUUGUUAUUGUACCAAAGUAUCCAUUUGUCCUUUAUGACCUUCCUCCUCCCCCCUUUUGCGUAUGUUUUACUGUAUUUUAUAUAUUAAAUAGACAAGUUGACCUACAAAGAAGUUCAGGUCUGAUUUUCAGUUCUUUCUUUGUCAGUGUGUCUUAUUGAGUUUGUCCUGAUCAAGCAUUCAAUGCUAAAUCUUUACAGAAAAGUUUUAACUUAUUCGUUAACGUUGAAUGAGCUCUCAGGUCCCUGAUUUAAUCCUGAGCUCAGGUUACUGACUGAAUGGAGUUUCGUAUGUUCUCCCCGUGUCCACUUGGGUUUCCUCUGGGUUUGUCCAGUUUACUCCCAAACACAUUGUUACUCUAAAUUGCUCAUAAUGUGAAUGAGUGUGUGAAUGUGUGUGUGCAUGGUGCUCCAGGGUGUAUUCCCACGUUGAUCCGAGUGUUCCUCGGAUAGGCUCCUGACCCACCGCAACCCUGACAAAGAUAAACCAGAAAUCCAGAUAGACCAGGCUACAUUGUCCAGUUUUGGUGAGCCUGUGUCUUGUGCAGACUCAGCUUUCUGUUCUUGGCUGACAGAUGUGAAACCCGAUGUGGUCUUCUGCUGUUGUAGCACAUUCGCCUCAAGGUUCGAUGUGUUGUGUUUAUUCUGAGAUGCUUUUCUGCUUACCACAAUUGUACAGAGUGGUUAAUUGAGUUACUGUAGCCUUUCUAACAGUUCAAACCAGUCUAGCCAUUCUUCAUUGAUCUCUCUAAUCAACAAGGCAUUUUUGUCUGCAUCUGCUCUCUGGAUGUUUUUUUCUUUACUGCACCAUUC
Molecule: long non-coding RNA, 2092 nt
Organism: Ictalurus punctatus (channel catfish)
Lineage: Eukaryota; Metazoa; Chordata; Actinopteri; Siluriformes; Ictaluridae
Source: Ensembl